AAGGAUGCAAUGAUAAGAGAGCAGAAGUUAAAACAAGGUCAAUCGAAAAGACAUCUGAUUGAAAGAAUACAAGAUAGUAUAAAUCUUUGUGAAUAAAAUUGAGUGCGGGAUAGUGGCGGACGGGUGAGUAACGCGUGAACAAUCUGCCCCGUACAAAGGGAUAGCCUCGGGAAACCGGGAUUAAAACCAUAUAACACUUAACUGCCGCAUGGUAGUGAAGUCAAAUCGAUUAAGAGGUAUGGGAUGAGUUCGCGUCUGAUUAGCUAGUUGGUGAGGUAAGGGCUCACCAAGGCGACGAUCAGUAGCCGGCCUGAGGGGGUGAACGGCCACACUGGAACUGAGACACGGUCCAGACUCCUACGGGAGGCAGCAGUGGGGAAUAUUGCACAAUGGAGGGAACUCUGAUGCAGCGACGCCGCGUGAGUGAAGAAGGUCUUCGGAUCGUAAAACUCUGUCCUUGGUGAAGAAAAGGACGGUAGCCAAGGAGGAAGCCCCGGCUAACUACGUG
Molecule: ribosomal RNA, 508 nt
Filed under: uncultured bacterium
Lineage: Bacteria
Description: bacterial SSU rRNA
Rfam family: Bacterial small subunit ribosomal RNA
Source: RNAcentral